AUGAACGCUGGCGGCGUGCCUAAUACAUGCAAGUCGAGCGAACAGACGAGGAGCUUGCUCCUCUGACGUUAGCGGCGGACGAGUGAGUAACACGUGGAUAACCUACCUAUAAGACUGGGAUAACUUCGGGAAACCGGAGCUAAUACCGGAUAAUAUAUUGAACCGCAUGGUUCAAUAGUGAAAGACGGUUUUGCUGUCACUUAUAGAUGGAUCCGCGCCGCAUUAGCUAGUUGGUAAGGUAACGGCUUACCAAGGCGACGAUGCGUAGCCGACCUGAGAGGGUGAUCGGCCACACUGGAACUGAGACACGGUCCAGACUCCUACGGGAGGCAGCAGUAGGGAAUCUUCCGCAAUGGGCGAAAGCCUGACGGAGCAACGCCGCGUGAGUGAUGAAGGUCUUCGGAUCGUAAAACUCUGUUAUUAGGGAAGAACAAAUGUGUAAGUAACUAUGCACGUCUUGACGGUACCUAAUCAGAAAGCCACGGCUAACUACGUG
This 496-nucleotide ribosomal RNA is filed under the name uncultured bacterium. RNAcentral describes it as "partial 16S ribosomal RNA". It matches the Rfam family "Bacterial small subunit ribosomal RNA", at positions 29 to 507 of the family's 1533-position model. The record is from RNAcentral.